RNAcentral lists this ribosomal RNA (570 nucleotides) under uncultured bacterium. RNAcentral describes it as "bacterial SSU rRNA". It matches the Rfam family "Bacterial small subunit ribosomal RNA", at positions 917 to 1501 of the family's 1533-position model. The record is from RNAcentral.
GGACCCGCACAAGCGGUGGAGUAUGUGGCUUAAUUCGAUGCAACGCGAAGAACCUUACCUAGGCUUGACAUGGAUCUCUAAGCACGUGAAAGCGUGUGACCCUUCGGGGAAUUUCCACAGGUGCUGCAUGGCCGUCGUCAGCUCGUGUCGUGAGAUGUUGGGUUAAGUCCCGCAACGAGCGCAACCCUUGUGAUUAGUUGCCAGCACGUAAUGGUGGGGACUCUAGUCAGACUGCCCAGAUCAACUGGGAGGAAGGUGGGGACGACGUCAGGUCAGUAUGGCCCUUACGCCUAGGGCUGCACACGUACUACAAUGCCCAGUACAAUUGGAACCAAUACCGCGAGGUGGAGGAAAACCGUAAAACUGGGCCCAGUUCGGAUUGGAGGCUGCAACUCGCCUCCAUGAAGUUGGAAUCGCUAGUAAUGGGGCAUCAUCUACGGCCCCGUGAAUACGUUCCCGGGUCUUGUACACACCGCCCGUCACAUCAUGGAAGCCGGUAGCACCCGAAGUAUCGUUUAAUCGGUCCUAAGGUGAAGCUGGUAACUGGGAUGAAGUCGUAACAAGGUAACC